GAUGAAGAACGCAGUGAAAUGCGAUAAUUAAUGUGAAUUGCAGAAUUCAGUGAAUCAUCGAGUCUUUGAACGCACAUUGCGCCCCCUGGUAUUCCGGGGGGCAUGCCUGUCCGAGCGUCAUUGCUGCCCUCAAGCACGGCUUGUGUGUUGGGCUUCCGUCCCUGGCAACGGGGACGGGCCCAAAAGGCAGUGGCGGCACCAUGUCUGGUCCUCGAGCGUAUGGGGCUUUGUCACCCGCUCCCGUAGGGCCAGCUGGCAGCUAGCCUCGCAACCAAUCUUUUUAACCAGGUUGACCUCGGAUCAGGUAGGGAUACCCGCUGAACUUAAGCAUAUCAAUAAGCGGAGGA
RNAcentral lists this unclassified non-coding RNA (347 nucleotides) under soil metagenome. RNAcentral describes it as "partial contains 5.8S ribosomal RNA, internal transcribed spacer 2, and large subunit ribosomal RNA". The stretch from base 1 to 120 matches the Rfam family "5.8S ribosomal RNA", at positions 35 to 154 of the family's 154-position model. The record is from RNAcentral.